This 82-nucleotide transfer RNA is filed under the name Paramuricea clavata. It matches the Rfam family "tRNA". From Rfam's summary of the family: Transfer RNA (tRNA) molecules are approximately 80 nucleotides in length. Their secondary structure includes four short double-helical elements and three loops (D, anti-codon, and T loops). Further hydrogen bonds mediate the characteristic L-shaped molecular structure. tRNAs have two regions of fundamental functional importance: the anti-codon, which is responsible for specific mRNA codon recognition, and the 3' end, to which the tRNAs corresponding amino acid is attached (by aminoacyl-tRNA synthetases). tRNAs cope with the degeneracy of the genetic code in two manners: having more than one tRNA (with a specific anti-codon) for a particular amino acid; and 'wobble' base-pairing, i.e. permitting non-standard base-pairing at the 3rd anti-codon position. Lineage: Eukaryota; Metazoa; Cnidaria; Anthozoa; Malacalcyonacea; Plexauridae. The record is from Rfam by way of RNAcentral.
GUAGUCGUGGCCGAGUGGUUAAGACGACAGACUUGAAAUCUGUUGGGAUAUUCCCGCGCAGGUUCAAAUCCUGCCGAGUACG